UCGAACGCUUCUUUUUCCACCGGAGCUUGCUCCACCGGAAAAAGAGGAGUGGCGAACGGGUGAGUAACACGUGGGUAACCUGCCCAUCAGAAGGGGAUAACACUUGGAAACAGGUGCUAAUACCGUAUAACAAUCGAAACCGCAUGGUUUUGAUUUGAAAGGCGCUUUCGGGUGUCGCUGAUGGAUGGACCCGCGGUGCAUUAGCUAGUUGGUGAGGUAACGGCUCACCAAGGCGACGAUGCAUAGCCGACCUGAGAGGGUGAUCGGCCACAUUGGGACUGAGACACGGCCCAAACUCCUACGGGAGGCAGCAGUAGGGAAUCUUCGGCAAUGGACGAAAGUCUGACCGAGCAACGCCGCGUGAGUGAAGAAGGUUUUCGGAUCGUAAAACUCUGUUGUUAGAGAAGAACAAGGAUGAGAGUAACUGUUCAUCCCUUGACGGUAUCUAACCAGAAAGCCACGGCUAACUACGUG
Molecule: ribosomal RNA, 474 nt
Filed under: Enterococcus hirae
Lineage: Bacteria; Bacillati; Bacillota; Bacilli; Lactobacillales; Enterococcaceae
Description: bacterial SSU rRNA
Rfam family: Bacterial small subunit ribosomal RNA
Source: RNAcentral